GAAUAUUGGACAAUGGGGGGAACCCUGAUCCAGCCAUGCCGCGAGUGUGAAGAAGGACUUUUGGUUGUAAAUCACUUUAAGCGAGGAGGAGGCCACUCUAAUUGAUACAUAGAUGUAGUGGAUGUUACUGGCAGAAUAUGCACCGGCUAACUCUGUGCAAGCAGCCGCGGUAAUACAGAUGGUGCAAGCGUUAAUCGGAUUUACUGGGCGUAAAGCGCGCGUAGGUGGCCAAUUAAGUCAAAUGUGAAAUCCCCGAGCUUAACGUGGGAAUUGCAUUCGAUACUGGUUGGCUAGAGUAUGGGAGAGGAUGGUAGAAGUCCAGGUGUAGCGGUGAAAUGCGUAGAGAUCUGGAGGAAUACCGAUGGCGAAGGCAGCCAUCUGGCCUAAUACUGACACUGAGGUGCGAAAGCAUGGGGAGCAAA
RNAcentral lists this ribosomal RNA (422 nucleotides) under uncultured bacterium. RNAcentral describes it as "partial 16S ribosomal RNA". It matches the Rfam family "Bacterial small subunit ribosomal RNA", at positions 359 to 772 of the family's 1533-position model. The record is from RNAcentral.